Molecule: ribosomal RNA, 103 nt
Filed under: Staphylococcus aureus
Lineage: Bacteria; Bacillati; Bacillota; Bacilli; Caryophanales; Staphylococcaceae
Source: RNAcentral
UGGUGACUAUAGCAAGGAGGUCACACCUGUUCCCAUGCCGAACACAGAAGUUAAGCUCCUUAGCGUCGAUGGUAGUCGAACUUAUGUCUAAAACGUCAAAAUA